Molecule: long non-coding RNA, 6850 nt
Filed under: Salmo salar (Atlantic salmon)
Lineage: Eukaryota; Metazoa; Chordata; Actinopteri; Salmoniformes; Salmonidae
Description: lncRNA (ENSSSAG00000095190.1)
Rfam family: UnaL2 LINE 3' element (bases 4465-4517)
Source: RNAcentral
AUAAUAAAAACUAGAAUUAAGACCCAACUAGAACGGGGGAUGUAAUAACGACAACAAAGUUUUGAGGAAAAUUCACAGGACUUGUUUUAUUGAAGAAUUCCAGAACAUCAGAGGGACAGACACGUCAGAGAACCGCUCAUCUAAAAAAACAUGUGUUAGAAAACCAGCAAGAUGGAGAGCUGUCACACACUACUGCUGUGGUCGCCUAGGAGACACGCAUGUCACUGUUACCGGAUCGUCUAGGAGACACGCAUGUCACUGUUACAGGGUCGCCUAGGAGACACACGCAUGUCACUGUUACAGGGUCGCCUAGGAGACACACGCAUGUCACUGUUACAGGGUCGCCUAGGAGACACACGCAUGUCACUGUUACAGGGUCGCCUAGGAGACACAAGCAUGUCACUCUGUCCAGAAUGUUUCUCAUGAUCCUCUUCCUCUUUCUUAUUGGACAACACACUUUCAACACGCUUAGAACAUGUUUAAUGUAAAAACAGGAACAUUUAGACAAAGCAAGGGAACGUCAGGGAGAACCGUUAAUUAACCAGGAAUAAGGUAGAACCCUAGGAGAACCAACUGUGGAGGAGGGGGGCACAGGAACACAAGUCACUAUGGGACGGGACGCGCUUUGCUUCCUACACAAUCAUGAAAUGCUGUUUAAUUAAAAAAGAUUUUAGUGUGUUCAUCUUGCCUGCAGACACUUUGUUGAUAUGACCACUGCAGAUCUACAUUAUAUUACUCAGCUUUGCUUUGUGCUAAAAAUCUGUACGGAUAGUAGAUAGUAUACUUAUAAAAUCACUGAUAAAAAUAUUCCUCUGUUAACAAUCUGGUUGGUCUUAGCGCCUCCGUUCUCAGAGUGGUUCUCCUCAGCGGCCUCUGCGUUCUCCUUCGCUGCUGCCUUCUUAGUUUUCUUCUCCUCCUUCUUGUCAUUCACAGCCUUCUCUUUCUGGAUGGGGGGAUAACAGACAUUAUCCUCAUCUAUACUGGGCUCCCGAAUGGCACAGUGGUCUAAGGCACUGUAUCUCAGUGCUUGAGGCGUCACUACAGACCCUGGUUCGAUUCCAGGCUGUAUCACAACUGGCCGUGAUUGGGAGUCCCAUAGGGCGGCGCAUAAUUGAUCCAGCUUCGUCCGGUUUUGGCCAGUGUAGGACGUCAUUGUAAAUAAGAAAUUGUUCUUAACUGACUUGCCUAGUUAAACAAAGGUUACGCUUAAAAAUGUAAAAAAUAUGUACCAUGACUACUAUAUGCCUGCUCUUUCUAGAGAGUGGGUUUAUAGUUCUGUUUUUUGCGAUGCUUCUGGGGUUUGUAGUUCUGUAAUGCGAUUGCUCUAGAGUUCUAUACUGAACAAAAAUAUAAACACAACAUGUAAAGUCCAAUGUUUCAUGAGCUGAAAUAAAAUGUCCUAGAAAUGUUCCAUACGCACAAAAAGCUUAUUUAUCUCAAAACAGCAUGAUAAUUACAUAGGUGAGCCUUGUGCUGGUGACAAUAAAAGGGCACCUUUUUAUUUUGGUCACACAACAAUACCACAGAUGUCUCAAGUUGAGGGAGCGUGCAAAUGGCAUGCUGACUCCAGGAAUGUCCAACAGAGUUGUUGCCAGAGAAUUUCUCUACCAUAAGCCGUUUUAGAGAAUUUGUCAGUACGCCCAACCGGUCUCACAACUGCAGACCACAUGUAACCACACCAGCCCAGGACCUCCACAUCCGGCUUCUUCACCUGCGGGAUCAUCUGAGGAGUGGAAGGAGGGUGCUGAGGAGUAUUUCUGUCUGUAAUAAAGACCUUUUUGGGGGAAAAACAAAUUCUGAUUGGCUGGACCUGACUCCCAAGUGGGUGGACCUAGCUCCCAAGUGGGUGGGCUUAUGCUCUCCCAGGCCCACCCAUGCCUGCGCCACUGCCCAGUCAUGUGAAAUCAAUAGAUUAGGGCAUAAUGAAUAUAUUUCAAUUGACUGAUUUCCUUCUAUGAACUGUAACUGUAAAAUCUUUUGAAUUGUUCCAUGUUGUGUUUAUAUUUUGGUUCAGUAUAUUAUGUGCAACCCUGGAGUUUGAAGUUCUGUAAUAUGAUUGCUCUAGCGAUUGUAGUUCUAUUAUGUGCAACCCUGGGGUUUGUAGUUCUGUUCUCUUACCUUUGCUGGUUUCUCCUUCUUGGCCUUGGGUUCAGCCUUGGCUGGGGCUGGCUUCUGGAGAGAGAGAACAAACAUCAGUCUCAUGUGUUCUACAACCACUGAUCAUUCCUAGUUCUACUGACCAAUAGGAGCUAGGGCUUCAGUGGGACUUUACUGAGAGUUAUAAACUGGUUCAGAGUUCUGUAACCUGUUAAAUAUGUAAUACAUGUGGAAUUAGCUGGUUUAGAGGUGAUAAGUGUAGUAGUGUAUGAUGCUUUAAGAAGGGUUCGUAUGUAAUACAUGUGGAAUUAGCUGCCAUGUCAAAUCAAAUUGUAUUCGUCACAUGUGCCGAAUACAACAGGACAGUGAAAUGCUUACUUUCAAGCCUUUAACCAACAAUGCUUUAAGAAGUUAAGAAAAAAUAGAAAAUAAAAAGUAACAAAUAAUUUAACAGCAGCAGUAAAAUAACAAUAGUGAGGCUAUAUACAGCGGGUACCGGUACAGAGUCAAUGUGCGGGGGUACACUGUCACGUCCUGACCAGAAAAAGGGGUUAUUUGUUAUUGUAGUUUGGUCAGGGUGUGGCAGGGGGUGUUUGUUUUGUGUGUUUCGGGGUUUAUGUUCUAUGUUUUCUAUUUCUAUGUGGGUUUUCUAUUUUUUCUAUUUCUAUGUUAGUUUUGGGAACGACCUCCAAUUAGAAGCAGCAGGUUGUCGUUGCUUCUAAUUGGAGGCCAUAUUUAAGUGAGUUUAUUUUCUCUUGUGUUUGUGGGUGGUUGUUCCAUGUAUAGUCUAUGUACCUUACAGGACUGUUUUUCGUCGUUCUUUUGUUCAGUGUUCAUUUCUUUAAUAAAUCAAGAAGAUGAUUCACAUCCCAGCUGCAGUUUGGUCCGAUCAUUACGACGCUUAUGACAUACGUUACUGAGGUUAGUUGAGGAAAUUGAGGUAAUAUGUACAUGUAGGUAGAGUUAAAGUGAUUAUGCAUUGAUAAUAAACAGAGAGUAGCAGCAGCGUAAAAGAGGGGUCUGGGUAGCCCUUUGAUUAGCUGUUCAGGAGUCUUAUGGCUUGAAGCUGUUAAGAAGCCCUUUGGACCUAGACUUGGCGCUCCGGUACCGCUUGCCGUGCGGUAGCAGAGAGAACAGUCUAUGACUAGGGUGGCUGGAGUCUUUGAACGUUUUUAGGGCCUUCCUCUGACACCGCCUGGUAUAGUGGUCCUGGAUGGCAGGAAGCUUGGCCCCAUGGAUGUACUGGGCCAUUCGCACUACCCUCUGUAGUGCCUUGCGGUCGGAGGCCGAACAGUUGCCAUACCAGGCAGUGAUGCAACCAGUCAGGAUGCUCUCGAUGGUGCAGCUAUAGAACCUUUUGAGGAUCUGAGGACCCAUGCCAAAUCUUUUCAGUCUCCUGAGGGGGAAUAGGCUUUGUCGUGCCCUCUUCACGACUGUCUUGGUGUGUUUGGACCAUGAUAGUUUGUUGGUGAUGUGGACACCAAGGAAAAUUUUGCUCCCAACCUGCUCCACAGCAGCCCCAUCGUGGAGGGAGAAGUUGUUGUCCUUGCACCAUACGAUCAGAUCUGACCUCUUCCCUAUAGGCUGUCUCGUCGUUGUCUGUGAUCAGGCCUACCACUGUUGUCAUCGGCAAACUUAAUGAUGGUGUUGGAGUCGUGCCUGGCCAUGCAGUCAUGAGUGAACAGGGAGUACAGGAGGGGACUGAGCACGCACCCCUGAGGGACCCCUGUGUUGAGGAUCAGCGUGGCGGAUGUGUUGUUACCUACCCUUACCACCUGGGGGCAGCCAGUCAGGAAGUCCAGGAUCCAGUUGCAGAGAGAGGUGUUUAGUCCCAGGUUCCUUAGCUUAUUGAUGAGUUUUGAGGGCACUAAGCUGAGGUGAACACUAAGCUGUAGUCAAUGAAAAGCAUUCUCACAUAGGUGUUCCUUUUGUCCAGGUGGGAAAGAGCUGUGUGGAUUGCAAUAGAGAUUGCAUCAUUUGUAGAUCUGUUGGGGCGGUGUGCAAAUUGGAGUGGGUCUAGGGUUUCUGGGAUAAUGGUGUUGAUGUGACCCAUGACCAGCCUUUCAAAGCACUUCAUGGCGGCAGACGUGAGUGCUACGGGUCGGUAGUCAUUUAGGCAGGUUACCUUGGUGUUCUUGGGCACAGGGACUAUGGUGGUCUGCUUGAAACAUGUUGGUAUUACAGACUCAGUCAGGGACAGGUUGAAAAUGUCAGUGAAGACACUUGCCAGUUGGUCAGCACAUGCUUGGAGUACACAUCCUGGUAAUCCGUCUGGCCGUGCGGCAUUGUGAAUGUUGACCUGUUUAAAGGUCUUACAUCGGCUGUGGAUGUGAGUACGUAUGGUCACUGUGGGGACGACGUCGUCGAUGCACUUAAUUUGUAAGUCGCUCUGGAUAAGAGCGUCUGCUAAAUGACUUAAAUGUAAAUGUAUUGAUGAAGCCAGUGACUGAUGUGGUGUACUCCUCAAUGCCAUUGGAUGAAUACCGGAACAUAUUCCAGUAUGUGCUAGCAAAACAGUCCUGUAGCUUAGCAUCUGCUUCAUCUGACCACUUUCUUAUUGACUGAGUCACUGGUGCUCCCUGCUUCCUAUUUUUUACUUGUCAGCAGGAAUCAGGAGGAUACAAUUAUGGUCAGAUUUGCCAAAUGGAGGGUGAGCUUUGUAUGCGUCUCUGUGUGUGGAGUAAAAGUGGUCCAGAGUUUUUUCCCCUCUGGUUGCACAUUUAACAUGUUGGUAGAAAUGAGAUAAAACGGAUUUGAGUUUCCCUGCAUUAAAGUCCCCAGCCACUAGGAGCGCCACCUCUGGAUAAGCGUUUUCCUGUUUGCUUAUGGUCGUAUACAGAUCAUAAAGCAGGUCUACAGUGAUAAUGUGGUUUAGUGAUUGUAGCAGAGAUUAUAACGGUUUCAUAAAAUGGAUAUUAGCUGGUUGUAGCUGAGUUUGGUUUAUAUUGAUAGAUGUUAUGAAGUUAUAAAUGUGAAAUACUAGGGUGUAGUAUAUUAUCAGGUUAUAAAGGUUAUAAGCUAGUACAUGGCUAAUAGAUGCAUAAUAAGGAAUCUAUCAGUAUAUAAUACCCUGGGGUAUAGUUAUAAAGCAUGUGUAAUACCCUGGGGUAUAGUUAUAAAGCAUGUGUAAUACCCUGGGGUAUAGUUAUAAAGCAUGUGUAAUACCCUGGGGUAUAGUUAUAAAGCAUGUGUAACACCCUGGGGUAUAGUUAUAAAGCAUGUGUAACAACCUGGUGUAUAGUUAUAAAACAUGUCUAAUAAUAUGGUCUAGUUAUUGUAGCAGAUGUUAUUAAGGUGUACAUGCUGUUGGAGCGGAGUUUAAUUUAGCAUGUGUAAUUGCCCGGUGUAUACAGAGACAAUACAUGUGUAAUUGCCCGGUGUAUACAGAGACAAUACAUGUGUAAUUGCCCGGUGUAUACAGAGACAAUACAUGUGUAAUUGCCCGGUGUAUAUAGAGACAAUACAUGUGUAAUUACCCGGUGUAUAUAGAGACAAUACAUGUGUAAUUACCCGUUAUAUAGGGUGACAAUACAUGUGUAACUACCUGCUAUAUAUAGAGACAAUACAUGUGUAAUUACCCGGUGUAUAUAUAGAGACAAUACAUGUGUAAUUACCUGCUGUAUAUAGAGACAGUACAUGUGUAUAAGUGUAAAAUGAUUGUAUAGUGAUUGUAGCUGAGGAUAUGGAUGUGUCAUAAGGUAGUGUACAGGUCAUAUGAUACAUCAUCAGGCAGUGUACAGGAUAUAUGAUGCGUCAUAAGGCAGUGUACAGGUCAUAUGAUGCAUCAUCACGCAGUGUACAGGUCAUAUGACGCGUCAUAAGGUAGUGUACAGGUCAUAUGACGCGUCAUAAGGUAGUGUAUAGGUUAUAUGACACAUCAUAAGGUAGUGUAUAGGUUAUAUGACGCGUCAUAAGGUAGUGUAUAGGUUAUAUGACGCGUCAUAAGGUAGUGUAUAUGUUAUAUGAUGCAUGAUAAGGUAGUGUAUAGGUUAUAUGACACGUCAUAAGGUAGUGUACAGGUUAUAUGACGCGUCAUAAGGUAGUGUAUAUGUUAUAUGAUGCAUGAUAAGGUAGUGUAUAGGUUAUGUGAUGCGUCAUAAGGUAGUGUAUAGGUUAUAUGAUGCAUGAUAAGGUAGUGUAUAGGUUAUAUGAUGCGUCAUAAGGUAGUGUAUAAUGUCUCUAUCGUAGCUGGUCUCACCGCUGAUAACCGGGCGGAUCUCCUCUGGGGCUGCAACAGGAAGAGGAAGAGAAAACAUAUCACCACAGAAAAACACACGCUGUCAGAGAUCAACUAUGAUGAAACUGAGCUGACAAUACGAGUUCAUUUAUUGAAUAGUAAUUAUAGGGGAUGAGUUGUAGUCGAGGAUCUCGGUCUCACCUCCUCCUUGGUGUCCCCAGCGGCUCCCUGCUGAGGACAAACACAAACAACGACAAAUAAACAACUUUUAUCACAACAACAACACUUUAUUGGCUUUUAUAAGAGCAAGUAACAGUCUACUGUGGCUCAAAUUACAUAUUUCUUCACUGUCAAGGAAGACCCCAGAUAACUUUUCAAUUUCAAGAAAAAAGUAAAAAUGUCAUAGAUAAUGUUCAAAUAAAUGUGUUUUUAGAACCAUUAGAUUGAACUGUAAUGUAAUAUUUGAGUUUUGUUAACAGUUUAUAUGUUUUGGGACCAGUAACAGUGAAAGUUGGGGUCCUAAAGUAUCUGUCUGUCUUUCUCCACUCCAUCUCUCUCUUCUCUCUAUGAGCUCAG